RNAcentral lists this ribosomal RNA (426 nucleotides) under uncultured bacterium. RNAcentral's name for it is "partial 16S ribosomal RNA". It matches the Rfam family "Bacterial small subunit ribosomal RNA", at positions 354 to 796 of the family's 1533-position model. The record is from RNAcentral.
GUGGGGAAUAUUGCGCAAUGGGGGAAACCCUGACGCAGCAACGCCGCGUGAGUGAUGAAGGCUUUCGAGUCGUAAAACUCUGUCUUUGGGGACGAAUAAUGACGGUACCCAAGGAGGAAGCCCCGGCUAACUACGUGCCAGCAGCCGCGGUAAUACGUAGGGGGCAAGCGUUGUCCGGAAUCACUGGGCGUAAAGGGCGCGUAGGCGGUUUGUUAAGUCAGGUGUGAAAGUUUUCAGCUUAACUGGAAAAGUGCACUUGAAACUAACUUACUUGAGUACUGGAGAGGUAAGCGGAAUUCCUAGUGUAGCGGUGAAAUGCGUAGAUAUUAGGAAGAACACCAGUGGCGAAGGCGACUUUCUGGACGAAAACUGACGCUGAGGCGCGAAAGCCAGGGGAGCGAACGGGAUUAGAAACCCCAGUAGUCC